UUUUAGCCCAGAUGGAAGCGGUAUCCUUUUUUGCCGGCAAUGAUUUGAUUUCUGAGCCGAAAUAUUGAAGCAAAAAAGAUAUAGCGGACAGCUGGUUGUUGC
RNAcentral lists this small RNA (102 nucleotides) under Kaistella jeonii. Its description in RNAcentral is "Chryseobacterium jeonii Flavo-1 RNA". It matches the Rfam family "Flavo-1 RNA". Lineage: Bacteria; Pseudomonadati; Bacteroidota; Flavobacteriia; Flavobacteriales; Weeksellaceae. The record is from RNAcentral.